This 492-nucleotide ribosomal RNA is filed under the name uncultured bacterium. RNAcentral's name for it is "partial 16S ribosomal RNA". It matches the Rfam family "Bacterial small subunit ribosomal RNA", at positions 29 to 507 of the family's 1533-position model. The record is from RNAcentral.
AGUGAACGCUGGCGGUAGGCCUAACACAUGCAAGUCGAACGGCAGCACAGUAAGAGCUUGCUCUUACGGGUGGCGAGUGGCGGACGGGUGAGGAAUACAUCGGAAUCUACUUUUUCGUGGGGGAUAACGUAGGGAAACUUACGCUAAUACCGCAUACGACCUACGGGUGAAAGCAGGGGAUCUUCGGACCUUGCGCGAUUGAAUGAGCCGAUGUCGGAUUAGCUAGUUGGCGGGGUAAAGGCCCACCAAGGCGACGAUCCGUAGCUGGUCUGAGAGGAUGAUCAGCCACACUGGAACUGAGACACGGUCCAGACUCCUACGGGAGGCAGCAGUGGGGAAUAUUGGACAAUGGGCGCAAGCCUGAUCCAGCCAUCCCGCGUGGGUGAAGAAGGCCUUCGGGUUGUAAAGCCCUUUUGUUGGGAAAGAAAAGCAGCAGGUUAAUACCCCGCUGUUCUGACGUUACCCAAAGAAUAAGCACCGGCUAACUUCGUG